Molecule: long non-coding RNA, 1977 nt
Filed under: Bemisia tabaci
Lineage: Eukaryota; Metazoa; Arthropoda; Insecta; Hemiptera; Aleyrodidae
Description: lncRNA ENSSWEETPG003428
Source: RNAcentral
UAACCAAUGGCAUAUCUCUCAAUGAAGAAGCAAAGCUUACUUGCGAAACAAUCAUUUAUUUUCAGCUCUAAGAUUUGUUCAAAUUAUAAAUUCUCAGUUAUACAUAUUCAUGUUUUUAAAAUAUAAUGCUCAUGUAAGAAAUCAAUUUUACCUAGUUGUCGAAACUGAGAGCGAUUUUUUUCGGCAGACAUUUAAGCUCUGGCGAGGAAUGGUUGAUUACUACAAAGCUAUUGCGCUGAGACUUCCUUAAAUUAAAACAGUAUUAGAUUAUCAUAUUAAAAGCAUAGGUGUUACCAUGACCAUGGUAAUGAUACUCUUAAACUUUUGGAUCUAGAAUAAUUAAGGUUUUGUUGUUCGAUUCAGAAAGUUAUUGAAAAUUUGCAAUUGCUGCAUAGUAAAAAGAGUCUACAGUUGAUAUCAACAAUCCUUAAAUCAGAAAACAACAAAAUCUUGACAAAUAUUCUGAGCGAAGAAAAAUGUCUAUUUUUUAUUUACCAAGUUGGAGAGGUCUGGUUCAACGAAAGAUGACUGCUUAUCAAGAAUUAGCCGUUUUGCCAUGACACAAUGGUAGAGUGCAGAGUUCAGGUUCAGUUGAUGGCUGUCAGGUGAUAGCUCUCCAAUACUGUCACUCCACGAUUCACCAGUCGUCUCUCAGUAACUGUUACGCUCUUUAGUGCGUGAUUCAUCGUCUUACCUUUGCAAUUAUUUAAGUCGACGGGCAAAAUGAACGAAACAGAAGAGCAAAUGUGUCUUGAAAACAUAGAAGAAUAUCUCAUGGAUCAUGACAAAAUCGUGACUUACAAAUAUCUGAGCCGCUCUCUGAAUAUAUCAAUGAAUGAUGCAAAAAGGUUACUUGCUAAGUAUGCUUCAACCAGCAAGCAUAAGUCUGAUCUCUCUGCCGUAUAUGCUGUUGGGGGAGAGUUGAAAAACAAUGGAGGAUUCUUCGUGAUAAUCGCUCAAGAUAAAGAUCUAGACUCUGUGAAAUCUCAGUUCAAAGAAGUAUCCUGGGAACAGUUAUACAGCUUGCAGAAGAAAGGACAACUGUGUGAUCUCAAUACUUUGCUUCUUGCGAAUAACGUAACUCCAACGGAUGAAAACGAAAAUAGUGUCGUUGGCAUUCCAUAUUGGAAGGAUCCGAAAAGGGAUGACAUUGCAGCACGUAAUGCGACCACUGCAACAACCUCAACAAUUGCUAAACAAGAGCCAAAAGUUCCGCCUAAAAAAGCAGCUUCACCCCAGAAACCAGCUCAGCCGUCCAAAAUCCCUCCCAAGACACCUCCUAAGGCUGCACCCAAGUCUAAAACCAGUCCUAGUCCAAAGAAAGAAACAGCAGCAAAAGAUAAAAGUACUGGGAAUAAGUCCGGAGGUAUUGCUGCUAUGUUUGCAGCUCAGCAAUCUAAGAAAGAUACCGCUCCUAAGUCAAAGGCUAAACCGGAACCUACAAAAAAAUCUGGCAGCCAAAGCAUAUCGUCACUCUUCGCAGGACAGGCAAAGAAAAUGGCUGAGAAGAAAACAGAGUCUCAAACGAGUGUCUCUAGUAGUUGCACAUCCACUGAUAACUCCAAAUUAAAUUGCGAAUCACAAGAAUUAUUCUCUAGCUCCGAUAAUGAAAAAGGUAGUCAGUCUACAAAAUCUCAAGAGUCUGCAUUAAAAGUCAAUGGAAAAGAAGGAAGUAGUCAGUCUAAAAAAUCUCAGGAGUCUGCAACAAAAGUCAAUGGAAAAGAAGGAAGUAGUCAAUCAUCCAAAAACGCAAGCAUCAAUAAAAAGCCUCCAGUUAGCAAGAAAAAGGUUCAAUCACAAAAAGGCAAAAAGGAAAACCAUCAGAACCUCCUCAGAAAAGGAGAAAGCGAGUCAUGGUUGAAAGUGACUCAGAAAAGAGUAGUGAAGGAGAAAGUGAUGCAGAGUCUGAGAGGAGUCUCUCCCCUGAACCUGAAAAGCCUCCGUCACCUGAACCCAUGGAAGAAGACGAUGAAAUAA